UGUGUUGUCCACAGUAGUCUGAAAUGCAAGU
RNAcentral lists this non-coding RNA (31 nucleotides) under Rattus norvegicus (Norway rat). The record is from RNAcentral. Lineage: Eukaryota; Metazoa; Chordata; Mammalia; Rodentia; Muridae.